AGCUGCACUCGGAGAAGCCCUGGUUAUACGACGGAGGACCCGGGUUCGAUUCCCGGCAUCUCCA
This 64-nucleotide transfer RNA is filed under the name Longispora fulva. Its description in RNAcentral is "tRNA-Ile". The record is from RNAcentral. Lineage: Bacteria; Bacillati; Actinomycetota; Actinomycetes; Micromonosporales; Micromonosporaceae.